ACGGAAGAAGCUGUGCUUUCUUUUCCGCGCGGCUGUCGACGGAGGAGGGCUUGCGAAGCUUGGUCGGUCAUGCGGACCGGGCGGCAGCGCCAGCGGACCAGUCGCUGGGUCCUUCGAGGUACAACAGAGCCUAUGAGUUGAAGAUGAAUGAACGUUGUGAUGUUUUCCAAAAACAUCUGAGGAUGGCUGUGAUAAAACCACUAGGAGCACAACUGCAUGUAAUGAGCAUGUAGGUAGCUGCAGAUGAAUGUCCAAGUCCAUAACUGUUGUGGUUAAAAAUUCUUCAUUGCCUCGAGGCAUGCAGUUGGAAGGAAAAAUGAAGAAUUGGUCAAGAAGACAUGAAUAAAUACUUUAUUUAACAUUGAUCACCUCACAAUAAGUUAUGUAGAGAAAUACAUGCUUGAAUACUUUUAACUAUUGGGCAGUAAAGUCUGCUAUCUUUAAAAUAUAUUGAGUGUUUACCAUAAUUACUAGUCAGAUUUGUUUUUAGCAUACUUUAAGAAAGUAUGUUCUUUAUCAAUAAAUAAGUAUUUGGAAUCUCCUAAACACCUUAACAAAUUAUCCCUUACAAAUAAAGAUUUCACCUGUGACCUACAUA
Lynx canadensis (Canada lynx) is the source of this 598-nucleotide long non-coding RNA. RefSeq lists it as uncharacterized. The record is from RefSeq and is a predicted model, not a curated record. Lineage: Eukaryota; Metazoa; Chordata; Mammalia; Carnivora; Felidae. The transcript is spliced from 4 exons.